RNAcentral lists this ribosomal RNA (549 nucleotides) under uncultured bacterium. RNAcentral describes it as "bacterial SSU rRNA". It matches the Rfam family "Bacterial small subunit ribosomal RNA", at positions 355 to 895 of the family's 1533-position model. The record is from RNAcentral.
UAGGGAAUCUUCGGCAAUGGGGGCAACCCUGACCGAGCAACGCCGCGUGAGUGAAGAAGGUUUUCGGAUCGUAAAGCUCUGUUGUAAGUCAAGAACGAGUGUGAGAGUGGAAAGUUCACACUGUGACGGUAGCUUACCAGAAAGGGACGGCUAACUACGUGCCAGCAGCCGCGGUAAUACGUAGGUCCCGAGCGUUGUCCGGAUUUAUUGGGCGUAAAGCGAGCGCAGGCGGUUUGAUAAGUCUGAAGUUAAAGGCUGUGGCUCAACCAUAGUUCGCUUUGGAAACUGUCAAACUUGAGUGCAGAAGGGGAGAGUGGAAUUCCAUGUGUAGCGGUGAAAUGCGUAGAUAUAUGGAGGAACACCGGUGGCGAAAGCGGCUCUCUGGUCUGUAACUGACGCUGAGGCUCGAAAGCGUGGGGAGCGAACAGGAUUAGAUACCCUGGUAGUCCACGCCGUAAACGAUGAGUGCUAGGUGUUGGAUCCUUUCCGGGAUUCAGUGCCGCAGCUAACGCAUUAAGCACUCCGCCUGGGGAGUACGACCGCAAGGNU